This 238-nucleotide long non-coding RNA is filed under the name Elaeis guineensis (African oil palm). RNAcentral describes it as "long non-coding RNA (EGUI_LNC050425)". Lineage: Eukaryota; Viridiplantae; Streptophyta; Magnoliopsida; Arecales; Arecaceae. The record is from RNAcentral.
AUUCACCCCCUCCUCUUAGGUUGUCUAGCUGUGCAACAUCUCGAGGUUGUGAGAGAGGCAGGAGCUCAAUAUCUGAAGGUCUUCAGUGAGUCUCAACUGAUUGUUGGACAUAUCAAGGGCAGAUACAAGACCUGAGAAAAAAAUAUGAAGCAAUAUCUUUAGAAGGUAUAAUAUUUGACCUUAUCCUUUUUGAGUUUUGACAUUUAACAGGUCCUCAGAGUGGAAAAUAUUAGGGCAG